Molecule: ribosomal RNA, 492 nt
Filed under: uncultured bacterium
Lineage: Bacteria
Description: partial 16S ribosomal RNA
Rfam family: Bacterial small subunit ribosomal RNA
Source: RNAcentral
AGUGAACGCUGGCGGUAGGCCUAACACAUGCAAGUCGAACGGCAGCACAGUAAGGGCUUGCUCUUACGGGUGGCGAGUGGCGGGCGGGUGAGGAAUACAUCGGAAUCUACUUUUUCGUGGGGGAUAACGUAGGGAAACUUACGCUAAUACCGCAUACGACCUACGGGGGAAAGCAGGGGAUCUUCGGACCUUGCGCGAUUGAAUGAGCCGAUGUCGGAUUAGCUAGUUGGCGGGGUAAAGGCCCACCAAGGCGACGAUCCGUAGCUGGUCUGAGAGGAUGAUCAGCCACACUGGAACUGAGACACGGUCCAGACUCCUACGGGAGGCAGCAGUGGGGAAUAUUGGACAAUGGGCGCAAGCCUGAUCCAGCCAUACCGCGUGGGUGAAGAAGGCCUUCGGGUUGUAAAGCCCUUUUGUUGGGAAAGAAAAGCAGCAGGUUAAUACCCCGCUGUUCUGACGGUACCCAAAGAAUAAGCACCGGCUAACUUCGUG